Microcebus murinus (gray mouse lemur) is the source of this 4500-nucleotide non-coding RNA. The record is from RefSeq and is a predicted model, not a curated record. NCBI's taxonomy places the organism in Eukaryota, Metazoa, Chordata, Mammalia, Primates, Cheirogaleidae.
CUGGGGGAAAGAUGGGGCUCACCCGCAGAAGCCUGCUCUGUUAUGCUUCUCCACACACUUCUGAUGGGCACAGGCUUUCACUUGCUGUCUGACCCUGGAACCAGAAUCCUUUCCCAUGCCUCCCCACCCUGCCAUCUAUGCUGUCAGCAGUUCUUCCUGGUGGUGGUCCCGCACUCCAGUGCUGUCUACACCCGGGGUCCACUUGCAAAUAGUAAUCACUCUCCACUCUCCUCAGUCUAAUCCUCAACUCUUGUGCCAGGUCAACCAACAAGAAAUCAAAGAAGAUUCAUUUUAAGUUUGGGUUGAAUAAGAAGUGCAAUAGCAAGUAAGAAAUCAGAAUUCUACAUUAAGAAGCCACAAUGAUGAUCUUCACUCUCCUUCCCCAUGCUUUAUGAAUUUGUAGAGACAUGAGGAGGAUUUUACAAUUUCAAAAUCCACAACCUUGUUUGGAGAUAAAGUGGGAAGAAGGAAACAUGCAAAUCCCAUCCAAUUGAAGGCACUAUUGAUUUAAAGAUGCAUCCUUUUAUCUAUUUUCCUUGGUCAAGGAAAAAGGUGUCAAAGCAUGUCUUGCUAGUUUAUUUCAAAUAAGCCACGAAUCACAAGAGUCGAAUGUGCCUAUUUAUGAAUGCAUAGAGUAAAUGCCAUGCCAGACGUCAAUGUGUUUCCAGUGAUGGUGUUACAGCUGGGAUGAGGAUGGGGAAAGAAGACAAGUAGGAAAAUAUUUCUACACAAAGCAACUUUGGAACUGAAUUUGGAGAGGUGAGGAGGUUGGUGGUGUGAAGAGAUAUACAGGAUAUUCCAUGCAGAAGAAAUAGAAUGGGUGAAAAAGUGUGCCUGUCCUGCGAUGAUGAGAUGAUGAGAAAGGAGACCUGGAGGCAGGAUGGUGAUUAGCAGUCAGGCUCUCAAGCUGCAGGCCAGACUAGGCUGUCUUGAAGACCAUGCUAAGGAGUUUGACUUAGCAUAUUGCAGGCAAAAGGAAGACACUGAAGAAAAUCAAGCAAGAUGCUGAGUCUAUUAGGGGCUUCACAAAUUGCUACUGUUACAUCAAACCAUUGUCACUUCAAACUACGUGCACCUGUUUUCCCUGCUGGACAUCUAUGGUCAGGAAACUACUAUUAGCAGAAUUUCUGAUUCAAAGAUUGUCGACCCCAUUUACAGAGUCAACUGGAGGAUGGCCCUUUGAUAACUCACAUUCUUUCCCGGGCAGACUUCUGGUGACUUGGGCACCAGGGUCCUGGAAUUAUAAUAAAAGAACUGGAUUUUAAGUAGUCUAUUCAGAGGCCUGUUUUCUAAAGACUUCCAGGAAAAGUACUGCAGAUGCUGCUGGUACACAUACAUAGCUCCUUACUACCAUCCCUGCAACUCUCUGCCUUAGAGCUUUCUUUGGCCACACAAGCAAGCUGGGCCCAUGCAUGUGAGAAGGCGGCUGGAAGUUCUGGGACAUCAACAGCCCUAGAGGCAACCCUCAACCAACAGAAGUCAGGAGUGGGUAGCUAAAUACUCCAGCUUCCUUGCAUCUCAGGUGGGACAACUCUAAGGUGGUGUGUUCUACCUGGGAGGAUUAGGCCUUAGUUGCCUAGAGUCCUAACCUGCUCAUCAAUAUCUCCUGUCUGGGUGUCCUUCCUUUUCUGUCUCACUUCCCUACAUCACUUCCCAAAUGAACUAUGUGGAUCUCAGGGUCUGGUUUUGGGGGGAAUUGAACCUAAAGACUUCCUCAAUUGUUAUAAAAUUAUUUCUAGCCAGCUCCAAAUUACACGUCAGAAUGUUCCUUUACCAGUGAUAUUUACAUGGGAAAAUAUGCAUGGAUGCCAUUUCAGAAAACGGUCACAGAGUUACUUCAGCCAGAACAGCAUAUCGGAACCACAUUUUCACAGCUCUAUAAUAAAAUAGACAACAUAUUCUAAAGGGAAGUUUUUCAAAUGUAGAAAUUCUUAUGAUCAUAUUUGUUAUUUCAUCUUGUUACAUAAUAAUAGGAAUAACUUUUUCCAGGUACCUUUCAUAAAUUAGUUUGAAACUCCUUCCAACUCUUGAGUCAUCAAUUGUUUCAUAGACACAGCUGGGGGAAAUUUGGGGCAAGGAGGAGACGGUUGCCAGAGGAAUCGGCCCUAUGAUUAGAGGGUUGGAGCUUUCAGCUCCACAUACCACCUCCCUGGGAAGGAGAGGGCUGGAGAUUGAUCUAAUCACCCGUGGACAAUAAUUUGAUCAAUCAUGCCUACACAAUGAAGUCUACCUGAAAAAACCCUAUGUGAUGGGGUUUAGAGAGCCUCCGGGUUGGUCAAAACACUGACGUGCUAGAAGGGAGAUGUGUAGGGAGAAGGUAUGAAAAGUCCACAUCCCUCCCCAUAUCUUUAAGUGUUCCUGGGUUGUAUUUUCCACAAUAAAUUGGUAAAUGUAAGUCAAUGUUUCCCUGAGUUCUGUGAACUAUCCUAGCGAAUUACUGAACCUGAGUAGGGAUUAUGAGAAUUCCCCAUUUCUAUAGUUGGUCAGUCAGAAAUGUAGGAGGCCAGGACUUUGCUACUGGCUUGUGAAGUAGGUAUAGUCUUGUGGGAUCUCAUGCUAAUGCCAGGUAUCUACUGAGAGUUGGGUACCAUGGGAGGUAAACCUCACACAUUUAGUAUCAGAAGUGUUGCUCAUAGGAAAAAUUAUUUUUGUUGUUUGAUUAUUUCUGUGUCAUUUCUCAUCGCUGGGUAGUGGUCCCUUUGAGUAACAGGUUUCCUUGAUGGGGCCUCUCUUACAGUGCUCCUAAAGGAGAGAGAGUUCUUAGGGAGAUUAGGGGUGCCUUCACUCUGUUUCUCUCCUUGCCAAACCCUGCCCCAAGGGCAGUCCUUGGGAUGAUGGGUAUCAACAAGCAAAAUCCCACCUAGCUGUCUUCUGUGCUAUUGUCAGGAAACUCAUACAUCCUUGUGCAAUAUAAGUAGGAAUGCAAAAUAGUCCAUGGCUGCCUUCAACACCAGGUUGUCUCUUUUCCCACACUCCAGUGUAGGUAGGUCACCAAGUCUACUGCAAGUACAAUUCUGGGGCAGAGGAAAAUCCCACUCAGUGUAUCUACGUGAAUUAUUGAUUAAUCCUUAGCACUUAAUAUAGUACCCAAGACAGAGGAGAAAUUGAAUAAAUAUUAGUUGGGUGGACAAAGGUUUAACAGCUCAAUGACUCUUCAUUGACAAAAAGACGUUUCUCAAGGCAGAGCCAAAGUGCUCCCAAUUCCAUUAUGGAACAACAUCUGUUCCCCAAUCCAUUUAUAUGAUGCAUUAUAUAUACGGAGACUGUAAUUAAGUCACUCUUAGCCUUAUCCUCUUUUGGCCAACCAACAUCAUUUCCGUGAUCCCUUCGUCUUAAGCCUGGGUCUCCAACUCUUUAAUCAUUUCUGCUCUCUUCUACAUCCAAAUGUCCCACUUUUAAACUGUGGAGAUCUAAAUGGAAAUCUAUCAUAAUGAUGCUGUAAAAGUUUGGCAAAUUUCAGAGGAAACCAACAUCUGUUUGGUCCUUUCUCAUUUUCUUCUUGCUGCCUUUUCAUUGAGAUUCUCAGGAAAAGCUGUAAAAUUUAUUUUUAAAAAUAAUUCAACAACAUCUAUUCUUGCCCAUGUCUUCCUAUUUGCACAAAUAUAAUUUCUAUGCAAAAAUGCAUUCAUAAAUGGAGGGCUAAGUUCACAAAUAUAAGCCUUUACAUAAUAUUUUCAAAUGUUUUGCAUGUAUUUUUACUUACCAUUCUGUUGUCUUUAUUUGAACUUUUCCUAUGCUUUAGGUAUAGACCCACUGAAUAUGAAUAAAAAUAAUAUUACACAGCAUGUAACCAUAUACCAGAAAAGUUUUGCAUGUAUUAACUUAGAUAAUCUUCAUAACAACCCAGUGAGCCAACUACUAAAGAUGUGCCCAAGAGAAGCAUAGCAAGUGAGAAUCAGAGCUGGGAUUUGAACACUGGAAGGCAAGUCCUGGAGUCUGUGCUCUUAUUAUGACAUGUUGCUGUCCAUUUAUGAGUAUCGAGGUACACUGGCCCUUUUGUAGGUUUCUUUAUAUUGGUGAUCUUUAAUAUACACAAGUAUACUUUGCGUUUAAAGAUGACUUUUCUAAUACAGUUAUUAUAUAGGAGGACCGAUAUUGGUUUGACUGAAGAAGUGACGCACGGCUGUUCCUUUACUGAUGUACUCUUUGUUCCCUUAUGUUAAAAGAAGGUUGUAUUUACUUUUUGAAUGUGAAUCCUAUGGUCGCUAAAUAUUGAUGAAUUAAAUAUUCUCUUUAGGUCAAACACAGCUCAUCUUACCAUCAUGAAUUGCAAAUGUAACCUCCAGCAGUCCUAUAAAUUUGUCCCAAACAGCUGUAAUGUACAUCUCAGGUUACCCAGAAAUACAGAAGAAUGCUUGAUCUUGCCCUGAGUAUAAUUCAUUUCUGAGUCAGUUUUCCAGAACAGAUGGGACUAUUGUUACCACCCAGGUCUUCCUGUAGGGCUUUUGGAAACUGGAACUGCCCUUCAGGGAACUGAAAAGAACCUAUUAAAUUGGUGGU